RNAcentral lists this ribosomal RNA (253 nucleotides) under uncultured bacterium. RNAcentral describes it as "partial 16S ribosomal RNA". It matches the Rfam family "Bacterial small subunit ribosomal RNA", at positions 524 to 776 of the family's 1533-position model. The record is from RNAcentral.
UACGGAGGGUGCGAGCGUUGUCCGGAAUCAUUGGGCGUAAAGCGCGCGUAGGUGGCCUCAUAAGUCCGCUGUGAAAGUCAAAGGCUCAACCUUUGAAAGCCGGUGGAUACUGUGAGGCUAGAGUACGGAAGAGGCGAGUGGAAUUCCUGGUGUAGCGGUGGAAUGCGCAGAUAUCAGGAGGAACACCAAUAGCGAAGGCAGCUCGCUGGGACGUUACUGACACUGAGGCGCGAAAGCGUGGGGAGCGAACAGG